GCAUCGAUGAAAGAACGCAGCGAACUGCGAUAAGUAAUGUGAAUUGACAGAAUUUCAGUGAAUCAUCGAAGUCUUUGAACGCACAUUGCGCCCCCUGGCAUUUCCGGGGGGCAUGCCUGUCCGAGCGUCAUU
RNAcentral lists this ribosomal RNA (132 nucleotides) under Aspergillus sp. A7. RNAcentral's name for it is "partial 5.8S ribosomal RNA". It matches the Rfam family "5.8S ribosomal RNA", at positions 30 to 154 of the family's 154-position model. Rfam says of the family: 5.8S ribosomal RNA (5.8S rRNA) is a component of the large subunit of the eukaryotic ribosome. It is transcribed by RNA polymerase I as part of the 45S precursor that also contains 18S and 28S rRNA. Functionally, it is thought that 5.8S rRNA may be involved in ribosome translocation. Lineage: Eukaryota; Fungi; Ascomycota; Eurotiomycetes; Eurotiales; Aspergillaceae. The record is from RNAcentral.